This 489-nucleotide ribosomal RNA is filed under the name uncultured bacterium. Its description in RNAcentral is "bacterial SSU rRNA". It matches the Rfam family "Bacterial small subunit ribosomal RNA", at positions 15 to 518 of the family's 1533-position model. The record is from RNAcentral.
GAUCAUGACUCAGGACGAACGCUGGCGGCGUGCUUAACACAUGCAAGUCGAACGGUGAACCUGCUCGUGGGGGAUCAGUGGCGAACGGGUGAGUAACACGUGGGCAACCUGCCCUCAGCUCUGGGAUAACUCCAAGAAAUUGGGGCUAAUACUGGAUAUGACCGCUGACCGCAUGGUCUGGUGGUGGAAAGAUUUAUCGGCUGGGGGAUGGGCCCGCGGCCUAUCAGCUUGUUGGUGGGGUAGUGGCCUACCAAGGCGACGACGGGUAGCCGGCCUGAGAGGGUGACCGGCCACACUGGGACUGAGACACGGCCCAGACUCCUACGGGAGGCAGCAGUGGGGAAUAUUGCGCAAUGGGCGGAAGCCUGACGCAGCCGACGCCGCGUGGGGGAUGACGGCCUUCGGGUUGUAAACCUCUCUCACCCAUGACGAAGCGAAAGUGACGGUAGUGGGAGAAGAAGCACCGGCCAACUACGUGCCAGCAGCAGC